RNAcentral lists this ribosomal RNA (468 nucleotides) under uncultured bacterium. RNAcentral describes it as "partial 16S ribosomal RNA". It matches the Rfam family "Bacterial small subunit ribosomal RNA", at positions 28 to 507 of the family's 1533-position model. The record is from RNAcentral.
GACGAACGCUGGCGGCGUGCUUAGCACAUGCAAGUCGAACGGAAAGGCCCUGCUUUUGUGGGGUGCUCGAGUGGCGAACGGGUGAGUAACACGUGAGUAACCUGCCCUUGACUUUGGGAUAACUUCAGGAAACUGGGGCUAAUACCGGAUAGGAGCUCCUGCUGCAUGGUGGGGGUUGGAAAGUUUCGGCGGCUGGGGAUGGACUCGCGGCUUAUCAGCUUGUUGGUGGGGUAGUGGCUUACCAAGGCUUUGACGGGUAGCCGGCCUGAGAGGGUGACCGGCCACAUUGGGACUGAGAUACGGCCCAGACUCCUACGGGAGGCAGCAGUGGGGAAUAUUGCACAAUGGGCGGAAGCCUGAUGCAGCAACGCCGCGUGCGGGAUGACGGCCUUCGGGUUGUAAACCGCUUUCGCCUGUGACGAAGCGUGAGUGACGGUAAUGGGUAAAGAAGCACCGGCUAACUACGUG